This 334-nucleotide unclassified non-coding RNA is filed under the name Hevea brasiliensis (rubber tree). The record is from RNAcentral. Lineage: Eukaryota; Viridiplantae; Streptophyta; Magnoliopsida; Malpighiales; Euphorbiaceae.
GGAAAAGCACUGUGGUAUCCCUUAUCGAAAGAUUUUAUGAUCCCACCUCAGGACAACUUAUGCUUGAUGGAAAUGACAUUAAGACACUGAAAUUGAAAUGGCUAAGGCAGCAAAUUGGCCUUGUAAGCCAAGAACCAGCACUUUUCGCAACAAGCAUCAAAGAAAACAUACUAUUAGGAAGGCCAGACGCAACACAAAUUGAGAUCGAAGAAGCUGCUAGAGUUGCCAAUGCCCAUUCUUUCAUAAUCAAACUUCCUGAUGGCUUUGAUACUCAGGUAGGGGAGAGAGGAUUACAAUUAUCGGGUGGACAGAAGCAGAGGAUUGCUAUAGCAAG